AUAUAUUAUAUUCAGUGUGUCCCAAUUCCUAUCCCUUGUAUCGAUCUGUUAAAGAUGACAGCUGUCAUCCUUCUGAUAGUAAGUACAUAAGAGGAAAUUGUAUAUAACCACAAGAGGUUUGCUGUUGUAUAAAAGUAAUAAAGAUGCUCUCUUCUAUUUCAACUGUUAACCGGAUCAGUUCGUUUUUUAUUGACUUAACAGUGGCGACGAGAGUAAAAAAGUAGUUAUUCGCGUGUGAAAGUGAUAAAAACGUACAGAAGUUGUUGGCUGCUCCGGGUUAGCUUGUGUCGGACGGUAGCAAGGGUAUACGGAGGCGGAUUAUAUUCGGAUUAAAGUCGGUCGAAAGUGACGCUAGUUACGUUCUUUUGUUUGGGCAUUUGAAAGCGAGCCAGGUUGAGUUGAUUCCCUGGUACAGGCUGUAACGGAAGCAAGCCAAAGAGCCUCUGAGCAAUAACGCUAGGCCAGUUAGUCGAUAUUCCGAGAACAGAGGUGGAAAGUAUUAAAGGCAUUCAUCGGUGCGGAAAUCUUAAUAGUUCGGAUGACAGUGAAGGAUAGCUGAGAGGAUACGUGGCACAUCGGUGCGUAUCGGGAUCGAUUCGUUUUGGGAACAUCGACCGACCAAGAGGUUAAACACGAGCGUUGGAGGAGACGGUAACUUAAGCGUAAGCGGACAACCAGCGGCGCAGGAAUCGAUUGGAUCGAAGGCGCGGGAAUCGAUCGGAUCCGAGGCGAGACCGGCAACAAUAGGAGGGUUUGGCAAGCAGCAGUUUGCUAGACAAAGAUUGCCAUCGGAGCCCAUCUCCUAACGGCCCACAGGGGGCAGAUAAAGCUAGUCAAAACCAAUGAACGAAGGCGAAAUGUUUCGUUUCAUGUGGGAGGAGAUGAGACAACAGUACGGACACACAAGCGAAAAUUUGUCGAUUCUGAGGAUGAUGAACCGUUCCACGGGUUUGACGUCGAGGCUCCACCACCCGCCAGAAAUGAACUACACCCGGGAGCGUUGCAGGAAUGUGUUGAAGUUUUUCCAUCAGGAAGUUCGAAGGCGCCAUUUGUGUUGAGGCGUUCGAAUAGAAAGAAACAGAAAUC
Long non-coding RNA from Armigeres subalbatus, 1086 nucleotides. RefSeq lists it as uncharacterized. The transcript is spliced from 3 exons. NCBI's taxonomy places the organism in Eukaryota, Metazoa, Arthropoda, Insecta, Diptera, Culicidae. The record is from RefSeq and is a predicted model, not a curated record.